Molecule: non-coding RNA, 568 nt
Organism: Maylandia zebra (zebra mbuna)
Lineage: Eukaryota; Metazoa; Chordata; Actinopteri; Cichliformes; Cichlidae
Source: RefSeq, a predicted model, not a curated record
GGGUUUUUUCUCAUCUCAGCAAGAGGAGUGGAGGCAUCUACUACUCAAACCGAGAAAUCCACGGACAAAAGAGAGGAAAACUCAGGAUUGAGAGGAAGGAAAACCAGCCUACUUACCUGCUGGAAGUCCGGAGUCGAGUGGCUGGAUGAAGGAGAGAGGCAACGUCGGCUAACCACUCACCUUUCAUCCGGAGAGCUGCUGCAAUUCCAACGCCAGUGUGUGUUGGGCUUUUGUGAAACAGAGCAACGGUCAGGUUUUUUGGAGAGGACGGAAAAGUCCAAGGACCAGGACGAUAUUCUGGUUGUGAUAGAUGGCGAGCCAACCACUUUGAGGACGAUCUACCCCAAAGAAGAUACACACCACACACUCAUACAUUCCAGUUACAUUCACAAGGACCUUUGAAGUUGGCUAUCGCCAGCUUAACUCUAAAUUCUUAAAGGGCCCCAACGAGUACUUUUAUUUUGUUGAGUGUGCACACUAUUUAUUUUAUUUUAUACUUUAUCUGUACAAAUUGGACAAAUACCUGUUAUACUUUGUAACAAUACAAGAGUGGCUACUCAAAAGUUAA